This is a long non-coding RNA of Motacilla alba alba, 393 nucleotides long. RefSeq lists it as uncharacterized. The record is from RefSeq and is a predicted model, not a curated record. Lineage: Eukaryota; Metazoa; Chordata; Aves; Passeriformes; Motacillidae. The transcript has 2 exons.
CACCCAGACCCACCUCGUAGAUGCAGCACUGAAUGAUGGUGAGGAGGGUCAGGGCUACUGCGUGGAGACUGAAGAAAACAUCAUUGAUGGCCACAGGGUUCACCCCGCUGGGAUAACUGACCAGGAAUUCCUCCUAAAGUUCUCAAAGAGUUGAGGAUAAAAGGAGAUGGACCAGGCGACGAAAUAGAUCCAGCCAAUCACCUCAUCAGCAUAUCUCACUAUGAUGCUGUGGAUCACUUGAAAUUGAAUCCUAGGCCUGAUGGUUAAUGCAAGAAGAAUCAGUUAAUUAAUGCUUUUUUCAGGAGAUUUUAUUUUGUUCUGCUCUGAGAGAGGAAAUAGACUCCAGGUGUCUUGUUGAGACAAGACAAUAAAGAUUCGCUUGGGUUCAGCUGA